RNAcentral lists this unclassified non-coding RNA (148 nucleotides) under soil metagenome. RNAcentral's name for it is "partial internal transcribed spacer 1". The record is from RNAcentral.
CCGAGUUUACAACUCCCAAACCCCUGUGAACAUACCACUUGUUGCCUCGGCGGAUCAGCCCGCUCCCCGGUAAAACGGGACGGCCCGCCAGAGGACCCCUAAACUCUGUUUCUAUAUGUAACUUCUGAGUAAAACCAUAAAUAAAUCA